CGCGAAUACUACAGACUACCUGAGAAGACCCUGCAACUCGCUAAGAUUAGCAAACUCUUAAUGGCACUUGAGCAAGGACGAUUAGCAGAAUUUCAUGGCAAGAACUUGGAUGAAAUUGGGAUAGGUCCAGAUGAAAAGGUUUUUGAAAGUGAAGAUGAAAGCCCACAGGAGGCACACUGUUCAUCUACUGCUGAUGAAGAGACUCUUCCUCACAUCGAGAGCCCUGAAAUUCCACCAACCAAGAAGCGAAGACAACGGCCGUUGGUUGAAAUGCCGGAAGAAGUCGGCGCUAUGAGGCCUUCCUCACAAGCAGAGACUCUUCCUCACAUCGAGAGCCCUGAAAUGCCACCACCCAAGAAACGCAGACAACGGCCUUUGGUGGAAAUGCCGGAAGAAGUCGGCGCUAUGAGGCCUUCCUCCCAAGGUAAAGCUGCAAAGAAGAAAAAACCCUGGCAGCCGACAGAGGUCCAGGCAGUCGAGAGGCACAUGACUCGCUUCAUCACCUCUUGCAUUGUACCUGGGAAGAGUGAUUGUGAGAAAUGUUUAAGGGUUGAACCAGAAGCACUACAGAACCGGGAUUGGCAGAACCUUAAAUUCUACAUUCAUAACCGAAUUAAGUCCUACAAAAAGAAGUGGCAAUGAAAAUAGUUUAUACAUUGCAUGUAUAAUGUAUAAUAUUAUGCAUUAUACAUGUAUAAUAAUUUUAAUUAUUAUACAUGUAUAUAUAUCCACGUCAUUUAAACAUGAG
This is a long non-coding RNA of Gadus morhua (Atlantic cod), 748 nucleotides long. The record is from Ensembl. NCBI's taxonomy places the organism in Eukaryota, Metazoa, Chordata, Actinopteri, Gadiformes, Gadidae.